Molecule: long non-coding RNA, 1191 nt
Filed under: Amphimedon queenslandica
Lineage: Eukaryota; Metazoa; Porifera; Demospongiae; Haplosclerida; Niphatidae
Description: uncharacterized LOC109582245, transcript variant X2
Source: RNAcentral
AGGGUUAGAUUGUUUGUUUUACUGUUUCUGUUACUCUUAUUGCCUUCCAGGCCUGGUGGAAGAUACUAACUGGCCAUUUGGCUAUCCCAAAUAAUACAUGUGAGUGGUGUUGAACGGGGAGAAUGCUGAUGAUUUAUUUUAUUUGUACAAGGACCAAGAGCACAUUUGAUAAGACAUAAUAUGUACUAUCUAAAGUUAAAACAAACAAGUCACUUCUAGUUAGUGGUGUAUAGCAUACUUCAAACCACCAAGGUACAUGUAUAUCUUUAUUCUUGUGUAUCUAUGUAUCAAUACACAGCUCUGCUUCAAAAUCAAAACUAUUGUCAUCCAGAAAUGUUUGAGGGAAAAGUGCCAAGUUUAUUUUAAAAAUUAGCAAAAAGCUUGUUAGUGAAUUUAGUAAUAAUCAUCGACCAAAUAAGCGCCUGAUUAUGGUAUGAAUACCUUGGUGUACUUACAAGUAUGCAUGGGUAUACUUAGAAUCUAUAGUAACAGUGUACUCUAAUAAUUUCUUCUAUUUUCCCUUUUGAUCAACUUUUAAAAUAGAAUUUAGACCAAUGGCAGAGUUCCCUGAUAUUUUAGAGUUUCGUUCUUAAGAGUUACUGCGGAUCACUUCAAAAUAUACAUAAUUUUGAAACUAAUCCAGCAGAUCACGCAACACUUAUUACUAUAGAGAAAGACUCUUAUAUUCUUAGAUUGUGAAGGAAAUUUUAGGCUAUUGGCAAGAUGGCAGUCAUCCUUUUCGAGUUGUAAGUCACUGCACAAUCCCCAGACAAGUUUUCAGACUGGUUUUGAGACUCAUCAUACUUCCAGUAUACCAAGAAACAAGAAUUGGGCUGUGGAAAUGCUGACUAUUGACAAUUGCUAGGGACAGUAUAGGAGUUGUUUGCUGGUGUCAGUGUUAGGAGCAACAAACCUGCAGUGUAAAACACUAAGAGUGUUUGUUCCUAGUAGUCAUGAAUCAUAAUGAGCAGAUGUAGAAACUCUAUACAUGUACAUGCAUGUAUACUUGUUACAAAUCAAUGGUAUUGUUUUCAUUACAGGUUGGUCAGCUUCUUAACUGGGAGAAGAUCAAUGUGGCCAUGACUAGAGCCCGCAAACACAAGCUGAUAUUUAUUGGGUCUUGUGGUAUCCUCUCCGGUCACUAAAAUUGAUCAAUCUCAUCAAUGAACACAAAUGGAUGGUUGAUUUGUA